This 72-nucleotide transfer RNA is filed under the name Erysipelotrichaceae bacterium. RNAcentral describes it as "tRNA-Gly". It matches the Rfam family "tRNA". Rfam says of the family: Transfer RNA (tRNA) molecules are approximately 80 nucleotides in length. The record is from RNAcentral. Lineage: Bacteria; Bacillati; Bacillota; Erysipelotrichia; Erysipelotrichales; Erysipelotrichaceae.
GCGGUAUUAGCUCAGUGGUAGAGUCCUAGUUUUCCAAACUCGGGGUCGUCGGUUCAAAUCCGACAUGCCGCU